UACGUAGGUGGCGAGCGUUAUCCGGAUUUAUUGGGCGUAAAGCGUGCGCAGGCGGCUUGUUAAGUCUAAAAUAAAAGCCCGGAGCUUAACUCCGGUUCGUUUUAGAAACUGGCGAGCUUGAGUAUGGUAGAGGCAAACGGAAUUUCUAGUGUAGCGGUAAAAUGCGUAGAUAUUAGAAGGAACACCAGUGGCGAAGGCGGUUUGCUGGGCCAUUACUGACGCUCAUGCACGAAAGCGUGGGGAGCAAACAGG
This 252-nucleotide ribosomal RNA is filed under the name uncultured bacterium. Its description in RNAcentral is "partial 16S ribosomal RNA". It matches the Rfam family "Bacterial small subunit ribosomal RNA", at positions 524 to 776 of the family's 1533-position model. The record is from RNAcentral.